Molecule: long non-coding RNA, 442 nt
Organism: Tachyglossus aculeatus (Australian echidna)
Lineage: Eukaryota; Metazoa; Chordata; Mammalia; Monotremata; Tachyglossidae
Exons: 2
Source: RefSeq, a predicted model, not a curated record
CUUAAGUUCUGAGACCCCCACACCUUCUCCUUGCUGUCUCCUAGGUGCCUCGUCCCCUUCUGACUUCACCUUCCCUGGCUUGCCCCAUGUCUGACUCCUCUCCAUUGAGGACUGUAGGCUGUGGCCUUCUCUCCCACCCGAGACUUGACCAGUCGGAGAAUGAGGACCCCAAUAUGCUUUACCAAGUGUUGACUGCUGGGCAACUGCCAACUUCAUAACCUCAGUGGUUCUCGCCAAGUCGCAAGAGCGCCGGUGCCCGGUUGAUUUGGUAGUAAUUAUGAGCACACUGUUUCUGAGAACGGGCUCUCUUGAGGAGGGAGAUGGCUCGAAGACGACAGCCUGAAAUGGCGAGGAGAUGGAGCGUGGCCAGUCAGCAGGGAGCUCUCGCAUCUUUACAUGUUUACAAUCUUCAGUGCAUACAUUAAACUGAACCCUUUUUUUU